AGGUGAUUAUAGCGAUGGGGCUCACGUCUUACCAUUCCGAACAGAGAAGUUAAGCCCAUUAGCGCCGAUGGUACUGCCACAGGUGGGAGAGUAGGUCGUUGCCUUGCU
Molecule: ribosomal RNA, 108 nt
Filed under: Tenacibaculum maritimum
Lineage: Bacteria; Pseudomonadati; Bacteroidota; Flavobacteriia; Flavobacteriales; Flavobacteriaceae
Source: RNAcentral